GAUGAACGCUGGCGGCGUGCCUAACACAUGCAAGUCGAACGGAAAGACGGGGCCUUUGUGCGGUUGGCGAGUGGCGAACGGGUGAGUAACACAUGAGUACACGGCCCUUAACUGUUGGUUAACCUCAGGAAACCGGGGCAAUAACCCAUUAGGACCUCCUGCUGCAGGGGGGGAGUUGGAAAGUUUCGGCUGUUGGGUAUGCACUCGCGGGGUAUGAGCUUGUUGGUGGGGUAGGGGCCUACCAAGGCGAUGAUGGGUAGCCGGAGUGAGAGGGUGAUCGGCCACACUGGAACUGAGACACGGACCAGACUCCUACGGGAGGCAGCAGUGGGGAAUGGGGGGCAAUGGGGGAAAGCCUGACGCAGCAAUGCCGCGUGUGUGAAGAAGGCCUUCGGUUCGUAAAGACCUCUUGUGGGGAAAGAACAGCUUUGGCCUGAGACGAGCCGGGAGUGACGGUACCGGAUGAAGAAGCACCGGCUAACUACGUG
RNAcentral lists this ribosomal RNA (488 nucleotides) under uncultured bacterium. Its description in RNAcentral is "partial 16S ribosomal RNA". It matches the Rfam family "Bacterial small subunit ribosomal RNA", at positions 28 to 507 of the family's 1533-position model. The record is from RNAcentral.